GACGAACGCUGGCGGCGUGCUUAACACAUGCAAGUCGAGCGGUAAGGCCCUUUCGGGGGUACACGAGCGGCGAACGGGUGAGUAACACGUGGGUGACCUGCCCUCCAGCUCUGGGAGUAAGACCUGGGAAACCGGGUCGUAAUACCGGAUAUGACUCCAUGACGCAUGUUGUGGGGUGGAAAGCCUUGUGCGGCUGAGGAUGGGCCCGCGGCCUAUCAGCUUGUUGGUGGGGUGAUGGCCUACCAAGGCGACGACGGGUAGCCGGCCUGAGAGGGCGACCGG
Molecule: ribosomal RNA, 282 nt
Filed under: uncultured bacterium
Lineage: Bacteria
Description: partial 16S ribosomal RNA
Rfam family: Bacterial small subunit ribosomal RNA
Source: RNAcentral